UACGUAGGGUGCAAGCGUUGUCCGGAAUUAUUGGGCGUAAAGAGCUCGUAGGCGGUUUGUCGCGUCGAAUGUGAAAACGCGGGGCUCAACCCCGGGCCUGCAUUCGAUACGGGCAGACUAGAGUUCGGUAGGGGAGUCUGGAAUUCCUGGUGUAGCGGUGAAAUGCGCAGAUAUCAGGAAGAACACCCGUGGCGAAGGCGGCUCUCUGGUACGUGACUGACGCUGAGACGCGAAAGCGUGGGGAGCAAACAGG
RNAcentral lists this ribosomal RNA (253 nucleotides) under uncultured bacterium. RNAcentral's name for it is "partial 16S ribosomal RNA". It matches the Rfam family "Bacterial small subunit ribosomal RNA", at positions 524 to 776 of the family's 1533-position model. The record is from RNAcentral.